CCCGCUCAGAAACUUAAAGGAAUUAGACGGGGCCCGGCGACAAGCGGUGGAGCAUGCGGUUUAAUUCGAAGCAACGCGAAGAACCUUACCAGGCCUUGACAUGCAGAGAACUUUCCAGAGACGGAUUGGUGCCUUCGGGAACUCUGACACAGGUGCUGCAUGGCUGUCGUCAGCCCGUGUCGUGAGAUGUUGGGUUAAGUCCCGUAACGAGCGCAACCCUUGUCCUUAGUUACCAGCACGUUAUGGUGGACACUCUAAGGAGACUGCCGGUGACAAACCGGAGGAAGGUGGGGAUGACGUCAAGUCAUCAUGGCCCUUACGGCCUGGGCUGCACACGUGCUACAAUGGUCGGUACAAAGGGUUGCCAAGCCGCGAGGUGGAGCUAAUCCCAUAAAACCGAUCGUAGUCCGGAUCGCAGUCUGCAACUCGACUGCGUGAAGUCGGAAUCGCUAGUAAUCGUGAAUCAGAAUGUCACGGUGAAUACGUUCCCAGGCCUU
This 497-nucleotide ribosomal RNA is filed under the name uncultured Pseudomonas sp. Its description in RNAcentral is "bacterial SSU rRNA". It matches the Rfam family "Bacterial small subunit ribosomal RNA", at positions 888 to 1382 of the family's 1533-position model. The record is from RNAcentral. Lineage: Bacteria; Pseudomonadati; Pseudomonadota; Gammaproteobacteria; Pseudomonadales; Pseudomonadaceae.